UGCGAUUUAAAUUUUUCCUUUCUCUUUGGAGCAUUACAAGCUCUUGGUGCAUAAAGAAGAUCUGUAAAGUUGCAAAGACUAAAGUCUCAAAUCCAAAAAAAAAAGAUAUUCUUUAUAAUAGUUAAGAGAUAACCACUCCUGCCUAAAACGGCUCAUUCUAACAUGCCUCCACAUGUCUAAGUCACGAUGUGGGAAGAUUACUCUAGGCCGCCGUGUGUGACGCUGUGUUUCGUUGUGAAAGCAAAACUACUUUGUUUGGCCUUCCAAAAGAGGACAGGACUAGAAAUCAGUGGUUAAUUUUAUUUACAACACUGUUCCAGAACAGUUCAACCCAAAUAUUCAGACGUGUGUAACCCAGGUUACUAAGAGCCCUGUUAAUGUAAAAUAGAAAAGGGAAUAAAAUACCAUAACACUCGUGAAUAUGUAAAUCAGCACUUUAUUUUAAUAACAUUGUGAAGUAGAAAAUGCAUAAAUUAAAAAAAAAGAAAUAAAACUGUUAGAAAAAUUUUUUUAUUCAAAUAAAACAAAGUGAAAAUUGGUCCAAUGAGGAGAGCGAAGAGUUACCCCCGCCCUAUGAUCGGAGCUGUGCGAGGGAGUACGAGCGAGAACGCGCGAUGCGAGAGAGAGAAACAGCAGCUGCGACACGGUCCUGAAAAAGAAGAAAACAGAAUUACAACACAUAAAUCAGCAGUUGUGUUAAGAAAAAUAACAGAUUUUGAGAGAAGAAAUGUGAAUUGAACAUCAUCAGUCGUUUAUCACGAUUGAUGCUGGCGCAAACUGUUAUAGAGGAGAGAGAAACUCGCAGAGGUUGGAGUGUUGCCUGUAUGAAACCUUCAUAAUUAGAAAAUUUGAAUUCUCUUGUCAGGUGCAGCAUAUUUUCUGGAACCAGACGAUCGUCGAAGAGGACUUUGAACUUGAACUGUCCCUGCAUUGCACUAAAAAAAAGCCAGGAACUGGCGAGCCAUGCCCAUAUAAGGAUCGAGCUACGUGAAUCAAGAGAGUGGUAGGAUUGUAUACACGCUUCCCUUUGUUUUUUUUUCCUGACUGGACUGCGUUGCUCAGAACUCAAUUGCGGAAGACGGAUCCCGCGUAAGCAGCACUGAACUGGAGAUAAAGUUUGGUGAAACCCUAAUCCACAUUGGGACUGUUAUUGUGAGCAUUAAGGUUGAUCCAUUGUUAUUUUUUAUUAUUAUUUUUUUUCUUCUCUCUAUUUUUACUCAUAUUCCACUGUCAAAUUAUUUGGUUUUAUUUUUAUUUUUGUUGUUGUUUUUCUGAAGAACAAGAGUGAAAAGGGUAUUUCAAAGAGUCAUUUGGAAGAAUUGUAUUCACAGUCAAAUUCAAAGUUAUUAUCUCUAUUAAAUAAGCCAAUUAGAACACAAAUUAAAUAAAUAGGUGAAAUAUAUAUUCUAUAUUAUUUUAUAUAUCUAUAUUCUAUAUUAGCAGAAUAAGAGUCAUUUAACUUUAUUAGGUUGAGUCUAAAUAGGUCAAAAAAUAAAUAGACAGACAAUUAAUAAAAUAGAAAAAUAGAAAUUUAAAUGUAUAAGGGUUAU
Molecule: long non-coding RNA, 1550 nt
Organism: Cyprinus carpio carpio
Lineage: Eukaryota; Metazoa; Chordata; Actinopteri; Cypriniformes; Cyprinidae
Source: Ensembl